GACGAACGCUGGCGGCGUGCUUAACACAUGCAAGUCGAACGGUGAAGGGAUCAGCUUGCUGGUUCUGGAUGAGUGGCGAACGGGUGAGUAACACGUGAGUAACCUGCCCCCUUCUUCUGGAUAACCGCAUGAAAGUGUGGCUAAUACGGGAUAUUCUGCGCCUGCUGCAUGGUGGGUGUGGGAAAGAUAUUGUUUCGGUGGGGGAUGGGCUCGCGGCCUAUCAGCUUGUUGGUGGGGUGAUGGCCUACCAAGGCGGGGACGGGUAGCCGGCCUGAGAGGGGGGACGGUCACACUGGGACUGAGACACGGCCCAGACUCCUACGGGAGGCAGCAGUGGGGAAUAUUGCACAAUGGGCGCAAGCCUGAUGCAGCGACGCCGCGUGAGGGAUGGAGGCCUUCGGGUUGUGAACCUCUUUCGCCAGUGAAGCAGGCCUGUCCCUUGUGGGUGGGUUGACGGUAGCUGGAUAAGAAGCGCCGGCUAACUACGUG
This 489-nucleotide ribosomal RNA is filed under the name uncultured bacterium. RNAcentral describes it as "partial 16S ribosomal RNA". It matches the Rfam family "Bacterial small subunit ribosomal RNA", at positions 28 to 507 of the family's 1533-position model. The record is from RNAcentral.